AGAGUUUGAUCCUGGCUCAGGACAAACGCUGGCGGCGUGCUUAACACAUGCAAGUCGAACGGUCUCAUUUCGGUGAGAUAGUGGCGGACGGGUGAGUAACACGUAGAUAACCUGCCUCGUAGUGGGGAAUAACUAACCGAAAGGUUAGCUAAUACCGCAUAAGCUCUCAUACGAUAGUGUGAGAGGAAACGCUUUCUUCGGAGGGUGGCUGCGAGAGGGGUCUGCGGCGGAUUAGCUAGUUGGUGUAGUAACGGUGCGCCAAGGCGACGAUCCGUAGCUGGUCUAAGAGGACGAUCAGCCACACUGGGACUGAGACACGGCCCAGACUCCUACGGGAGGCAGCAGCGAGGAAUAUUCCACAAUGGGCGAAAGCCUGAUGGAGCGACGCCGCGUUAAGGAAGAAGGCCUUCGGGUUGUAAACUUCUUUUUUCGGGGAUGACACGCCCCCUAAUACGGGGAUAGGACAGUACCCGAAGAAUAAGCCUCGGCUAACUACGUGCCAGCAGCCGCGGUAAUACGUAGGAGGCGAGCGUUGUCCGGAUUUACUGGGCGUAAAGAGCGCGCAGGCGGCAUGUCAAGUAAGGUGUGAAAUCUCCCUGCUCAACGGGGAGGGUGCAUUUUAGACUGGCAAGCUAGAGGACGGUAGAGGGGGGUAGAAUUGCUGGUGUAGCGGUGAAAUGCGUAGAGAUCAGCAGGAAUACCCGUGGCGAAGGCGGCCCCCUGGGCCGAACCUGACGCUGAGGCGCGAAGGCUAGGGGAGCGAACGGGAUUAGAUACCCCGGUAGUCCUAGCAGUAAACGAUGGCCACUAGGUGUGGGGGGUGUUGACCCCUUCCGUGCCGAAGCUAACGCAUUAAGUGGCCCGCCUGGGGAGUACGGUCGCAAGACUAAAACUCAAAGGAAUUGACGGGUCCCCGCACAAGCAGCGGAGCGUGUGGUUUAAUUCGAUUCAACGCGAAGAACCUUACCUGGGCUUGACAUGUAUUCGCAACACUCUGAAAGGAGUGCCUCUUCGGACGGAUACACAGAUGUUGCAUGGCUGUCGUCAGCUCGUGUCGUGAGAUGUUGGGUUAAGUCCCUCAACGAGCGCAACCCUUAUUUCUAGUUGAAUAUCUAGAGAGACUGCCGGAAACAAACCGGAGGAAGGCGGGGAUGACGUCAAGUCAGCAUGACUCUUACGUCCAUGGCUACACACACGCUACAAUGGAGGGUACAGCGAGAAGCCAACCUGCGAGGGUGAGCAGACCUCUAAAAGCCUUCCUCAGUUCAGAUUGCACUCUGCAACCCGAGUGCAUGAAGUCGGAGUUGCUAUUAACCGCGUGUCAGCAUAGCGCGGUGAAUAUGUUCCCGGGGAUUGUACACACCGCCCGUCACGUCAUGGGAGCUGGCAAUACCUGAAGUCCGUGAGCUAACCGUUCGCAAGAAGGGAGGCAGCGGCCGAGGGUAGGGCUAGUGACUGGGACGAAGUCGUAACAAGGUA
RNAcentral lists this ribosomal RNA (1479 nucleotides) under metagenome. RNAcentral describes it as "bacterial SSU rRNA". It matches the Rfam family "Bacterial small subunit ribosomal RNA". The record is from RNAcentral.